UGCUAUCUAUGAUGAUAGAUGUCCAUCUUUUCUGAUUUAUCAGUGAAGAUCAAUACAUAAUCACCAUCUUUCGGCUGAGAUGAUA
Amaranthus tricolor (Joseph's coat) is the source of this 85-nucleotide small nucleolar RNA. The record is from RefSeq and is a predicted model, not a curated record. NCBI's taxonomy places the organism in Eukaryota, Viridiplantae, Streptophyta, Magnoliopsida, Caryophyllales, Amaranthaceae.